Molecule: ribosomal RNA, 518 nt
Filed under: uncultured bacterium
Lineage: Bacteria
Description: bacterial SSU rRNA
Rfam family: Bacterial small subunit ribosomal RNA
Source: RNAcentral
GAGUUUGAUCCUGGCUCAGGACGAACGCUGGCGGCGUGCCUAACACAUGCAAGUCGAGCGAAGUUUUUAAAGAAGAUUUCUUCGGAAUGAAACUUUAAUUAUCUUAGCGGCGGACGGGUGAGUAACGCGUGAGAAACCUGCCUUUUACAAAGGGAUAGCCUCGGGAAACUGGGAUUAAUACCUUAUGACACUUAAAUGUCGCAUGAGAUUUAAGUCAAAGCGUAAAGCGGUAAAAGAUGGUCUCGCGUCCCAUUAGUUAGUUGGUGAGGUAAAGGCUCACCAAGACAGCGAUGGGUAGCCGGCCUGAGAGGGUGAACGGCCACACUGGAACUGAGACACGGUCCAGACUCCUACGGGAGGCAGCAGUGGGGAAUAUUGCACAAUGGAGGAAACUCUGAUGCAGCGACGCCGCGUGAACGAUGAAGGCUUUCGGGUCGUAAAGUUCUGUCCUAAGGGACGAUAAUGACGGUACCUUAGGAGGAAGCCCCGGCUAACUACGUGCCAGCAGCCGCGGUAAU